Molecule: long non-coding RNA, 696 nt
Organism: Belonocnema kinseyi
Lineage: Eukaryota; Metazoa; Arthropoda; Insecta; Hymenoptera; Cynipidae
Exons: 3
Source: RefSeq, a predicted model, not a curated record
AAAAUUAGAUAACCAACAAAAUCGAAAAUUUUCAGGAGAGUGAAAUAACAUCUUGUAAAAUCGAAAUCACCGUUUAAAUAUAAGACCAAAAGAAUGCCUUCGAGCUGCAGUGUUUCUGAAUUGAGGCCGAAAAAGUAUGAUUAAAAAAAUUCACUUCCGCGAAAUAAAAUGUGGAUGUUUACAAUCUCAAAGUGACAGGAUCAGAGUUACUAAAUUAAGAGCAAAUGUGUUUGACCAGAAAAAAUCAGGAAAUUCCGAGUAUUCGGUACGGCCACGGAAACGGCCUGAAGCCAGCCGUUACCGCUAUCAGGCUACGGGAAUGCAUGCAGGAAAACUGAUAAAAUCUCGAGUUGGAGAAAAAAACUUUUGCUCGAGUUUAUUGAAAGGUUUAGCCGGAGUUGUGUUUUGAAUUUCUUUUGAACAUGGCAUAUCUCCUAUUGGAUUACAAAUACCUCAUUAAGUAUUGCAAUAACUUUGUACAAAAAAAAUGCUAAGGCAUCUGGAAAAAUUAUUUUGGUCAUUCGGACUAAUUAAUUCAGCCCGAAGCCGGAAAAAUCUAAGGAGACAUGCGACAACGGUCGUGUUAUCAUCGACUGCAUAGAAAUCAUGUCAAAGUGUUUCGUGGCCAAAUCAACGAUGCUUAAAUCACGACAAGUAGUGCAUUGCUUGAUUUAUUAGAACGAGGGGAUCUUGCCU